RNAcentral lists this ribosomal RNA (506 nucleotides) under Lerista xanthura. RNAcentral describes it as "partial 16S ribosomal RNA". It matches the Rfam family "Bacterial large subunit ribosomal RNA", at positions 1833 to 2590 of the family's 2925-position model. Lineage: Eukaryota; Metazoa; Chordata; Lepidosauria; Squamata; Scincidae. The record is from RNAcentral.
UACAACAAGAGUAUUAAAGGUCCUGCCUGCCCAGUGAAAACUUUUUAACGGCCGCGGUAUUCUAACCGUGCAAAGGUAGCGUAAUCACUUGUCUUCUAAAUAAAGACCAGUAUGAACGGCUAAAUGAGGACAAACCUGUCUCCUACAACCAAUCAGUGAAACUGAUCUCCCAGUCCAAAAGCUGGGAUAUAAACAUUAGACGAGAAGACCCUGUGGAGCUUAAAAAGCACCUAGUAAUAACACACUAGCACAAAUUUUUAAGUUGGGGCGACUUCGGAAAAAAACGAAACUUCCGAGCAGAGAACCACAAAUUCAAACCGAGGUAAACAAACCAAAGAUAAAACUAUUGACCCAGUCCACACUGACCAACGAACCAAGUUACCCCAGGGAUAACAGCGCCAUCCUCUUCAAGAGUCCAUAUCGACAAGAGGGUUUACGACCUCGAUGUUGGAUCAGGGCACCCCAAUGGUGCAACCGCUAUUAAAGGUUCGUUUGUUCAACGAUUA